CUGAUGUAAAACUAAUGAUCUAUAGGAUAAGUUAGUAGAUACACACACACAAAUGCGCACAUUUUAAAAAGUAAGAAUAGUCUCUGCUUUUGGGCAUGGAGCGAAUAUUUUGCAACACAAAGUGGAUAAAUCACAGGGCAAUGACAGAGCACACAGUAGCACUGGAUAAAGCACAAUGACUGAGCAAUUCACGAACUGUGGCAGACGUGUUGUAUUCAGGAGCAAGCACUGCAUCUAGAUGCACUGCUAAAGGCUCUGUAAAGCUGUAAGUGCUCUGUCUACACAGAAAAAUCUCUCCGUUGGGCUUUCAGUGAGCCAAAACGCUCACACUCUAGAUCUGCCCAUGCUGUCAGAACUAAGUGCCAUAGAGCUGCUCUGUAAGGAUAAGAAGAUAUUCAAGCAAGUAGUAAAAAGGGAUAAAAUAUAGUCCAGCAAAUUAUGGCUUGGUUACUUCCCACUUGGGACAUCACCCACUUCUAGGCACGUCACCAACACGGGACUCCAAACUAGCUAGUAAUUCUUUUCAAAUGAUCAAGGUAUUUACACAGUACUGCCAUUUCUUGAACUGUUUUAAGUUUAGUGUCAUCCUAAGAAUAAUUUGUUAGAAGAGGCAUUCCCAUUCACCUCCUUUAUUUGUUGUGAAGUGUCUACAAAGGAGUAGCAUGCAGUAUUUCAAUGUUAGCAGCUGUGGGUACACAUUGUCUCAUCUGAAAGAGGACUAAAUCCAAGACAAACUUUCUAAUGUCCUUUCAGGUCACUUACAUGAUAUUUGAAGUACAUUUGCCCCACCUGAACCAGACAAGGCUAUGCAAUUACCGAAUGGCAAGCUCACCUAUAUCACAAAACACCUGUCAAGAAGAAUAUUGCAAAAUCAUCAUCCCUCAAGACUUUUAAGGCGGGCUGAAGAAAGCAAUAUUAAAUAUGUAGCAUGAAACUGGCUGAAAAACAGAUAAGUAAAUAUUUCCAUCUGUAAUCUCUCUGACACGUUGAUUAUUGCUGAAGUUUAAAUUCUGAGAUUCACCAUCUUAGCAUUUAUUCACUUCUAACUUGCAUCUCCUCAAAUCUUGCCAAGGGAAUGCCACCUAAGGCUAACUGCCCUCAGAUCUCCACAAGAUAUGCACAAACAUAUAGUUUGUGUAAAAGAGCGAAACAACUUCCAGAAAGGAUUCCAGGUCAUUUGUUGAGUCUGACUGGAAAUAGCAUGGACCAUAUCUAGUCACAUUAGUCAUUCCAAAGCCUAUUCAUAGAAACAUUUUGGCCUGAUUGCAAGAUGCUGUGUCAAAUCUCGGUAAACUUAGUGUUAUCACAAAAACCCAUCAGCAGGACAAAGUAAAUGAAGUGCAAAUACUAGAAGAUGAAACAGUUGUUUUUCAUUGAACACAGAGGAACAGUAAUUACAAUCCAAUUUUAUUUCCUUUUUAAUAGCUUUAUGUCAUCCACUUCCACCAUGCGUGCCUUUGCUGGGGAGACUGUAUGAUUCAAAUUAAUCUACUUCUGGUCUACAAGGUCUUUUCAGUAAUGUAUUAUUGGAAAGUCUCAUUUUGAUGAUUUAUUAAUCUAAUGUAUCAUUAUAGAACUGUCAUGCCAUAUAGUUCCAUCCUUUCUUCCCGUCAGGUACUUUGGUGACAGUCUUCCUGAACAUGCUUGUGGCCAGCACUCAUUUCUAGAAAUAUGUUAAAUGCAACAAACAACAAAGAUGAGAUAAGGAAUUGCAGUUUUAUGCUUCCUCACAAAUAUAAAUAUCAGAAAGCACAGAAGUUACUAAGAAGGAAAGGACACUAAGUGAAAACUUGCUGAGAAAUCUGUGCUACCACUGUCCUGCCACAAAACAACAGUAUGUCAGGUGAUCAUGGAGUGCCAAUGCACAGGAAUGUAGGACAAGUCCAGCUGGUAA
Long non-coding RNA from Numida meleagris (helmeted guineafowl), 1894 nucleotides. The record is from Ensembl. Lineage: Eukaryota; Metazoa; Chordata; Aves; Galliformes; Numididae.